RNAcentral lists this ribosomal RNA (460 nucleotides) under uncultured bacterium. Its description in RNAcentral is "partial 16S ribosomal RNA". It matches the Rfam family "Bacterial small subunit ribosomal RNA", at positions 338 to 795 of the family's 1533-position model. The record is from RNAcentral.
CCUACGGGUCGCUGCAGUGAGGAAUAUUGGUCAAUGGGCGCGAGCCUGAACCAGCCAAGUAGCGUGAAGGAUGACUGCCCUACGGGUUGUACACUUCUUUUAUAAAGGAAUAAAGUGAGGCACGUGUGCCUUUUUGUAUGUACUUUAUGAAUACGGCUCGUCUAACUCCGUGCCAGCAGCCUCGGUCAUACGGAGGAUCCGAGCGUUAUCCGGAUGUAUUGGGUUUAAAGGGAGCGUAGAUGGGUUGUUCAGUCAGUUGUGAAAGUUUGCGGCUCAACCGUAAAAUUGCAAUUGAUACUGGCAGUCUUGAGUACAGUUGAGGUAGGCGGAAUUCGUGGUGUAGCGGUGAAAUGCUUAGAUAUCAAGAAGAACUCCGAUUGCGAAGGCAGCUUACUAAACUGCCACUGACAUUGAUGCUCGAAAGUGUGGGUAUCAAACAGGAUUAGAUACCCCAGUAGUC